RNAcentral lists this ribosomal RNA (405 nucleotides) under uncultured bacterium. RNAcentral describes it as "bacterial SSU rRNA". It matches the Rfam family "Bacterial small subunit ribosomal RNA", at positions 28 to 424 of the family's 1533-position model. The record is from RNAcentral.
GAUGAACGCUAGCGGCAGGCUUAAUACAUGCAAGUCGAGGGGCAGCAUGAACUAGCAAUAGUUUGAUGGCGACCGGCAAACGGGUGCGGAACACGUACACAACCUUCCUUUAAGUGGGGAAUAGCCCAGAGAAAUUUGGAUUAAUACCCCGUAACACAACGAAGUGGCAUCACUUUGUUGUUAUAGUUUCGGCGCUUAAUGAUGGGUGUGCGUAUGAUUAGAUAGUUGGCGAGGUAACGGCUCACCAAGUCUACGAUCAUUAGCUGAUGUGAGAGCAUGAUCAGCCACACGGGCACUGAGACACGGGCCCGACUCCUACGGGAGGCAGCAGUAAGGAAUAUUGGUCAAUGGACGGCAAGUCUGAACCAGCCAUGCCGCCGUGAAGGAUUAAGGUACCUCUGGAUU